AAUUUUUUGUGUGGUAUUAGCCAUAUUACCUAAUUAAUAAUUAUUACUAAUUAUUACUAAUUACAAUCUUUUUUUUCCUUUCGAACAUUUCGUGACGACAAAUAGUUCCUAAGUUAAUCACCUAGAUGGUACUAGUAGGCAGUCCAUAACAUAUCGCAGUUUCGUAGCCGUUUUCUGCCUGCGCAAAGCAUAGGCCGUUGGGUAACCAGUUUACAAGUAUAUCUUUAAUCGUGGUUAGAGGACAAGUCAAAACAUCGUUAUGCGGAAGGGGACAAGUCAUAUUAUAAAUUAUUAUUUUCCAAAAUAGCGUUUGUUUACAUUGUUAUUAAUAAUAAUUAUUAUAUUCAACUAUCAUUGUUCCAAAAGCAUACGAGUGACAUACGACUAAACGACUUGACAUGAUUCAUAAUUUGAGAAGUAAAAAGUAUUAUUAUUUUAAAAAAAGCUUUUAUUUACGUUGAUUAUACACAAUAUUCAUACAAUGUCAAAAAGAAUUCAACGAAUGAUGAAUCUGGCCAGUGAUAUAAAUAGAUUUCAACCAGUCAAGAGGAAACUGCUGUUUACAAAAAAAUGUAAAUCCUACAAGAAAACAUGUACAGGAAUGGGUGAAUAAUAGUGAUCCAUCCUAUAUUUUAAAUGAAAAUAAUCAUGAAGUUGAUCCAUGUUAUAAUAAUGGUAUGGACGAGUGUACUUAUAGAUAAUAGUAUAGUGAACAUCAAUGGUGAAGAUUAUACUAUAGUAUUUGGAAAUCAGUCCACAGACGUUCUACAUGAGAUUGAUGACAUCAACAAAUGGAACUGCAAUGAGAAUGAAUAUGAGUUAAAAAAUCCACUAUUAAUACCCGAUGAAAGCUAGAAAAGUCCCAAUAAAUCAGAUACAAUAAGUGUGAUUCCCGGGACUCCAGAUCAUAAUAUUAAAGUAGGGCAUGAGGAAGGUUUGAUCAACGAUGAGGAGAUAGAUAAUAAUUUCAUUGCAAGAAAAAUUAGAAUUAGUGUUAAAGGUGACACAGUCGAUUACCGAAAAUAUAGACAGUUUAAAAGAAAUUCUGGUCAAGAAUAUACCACUAAUAAAGGUAAUAAAGUUAAAGGUCGAUCUUCUGAGCCAUUACCAAAGGUUGGAGAUAAUAUUAUUACUAUCUACAAAGAAAAGUUGGUAGUUAAUAAGUAUUUACUAUUUAGUAUACCCUUAUACUUUUUAUUACAGUUUAGUUAAAGUU
Acyrthosiphon pisum (pea aphid) is the source of this 1216-nucleotide long non-coding RNA. RefSeq lists it as uncharacterized. The transcript is spliced from 5 exons. The record is from RefSeq and is a predicted model, not a curated record. NCBI's taxonomy places the organism in Eukaryota, Metazoa, Arthropoda, Insecta, Hemiptera, Aphididae.